RNAcentral lists this transfer RNA (92 nucleotides) under candidate division BRC1 bacterium HGW-BRC1-1. RNAcentral describes it as "tRNA-Ser". It matches the Rfam family "tRNA". From Rfam's summary of the family: Transfer RNA (tRNA) molecules are approximately 80 nucleotides in length. Their secondary structure includes four short double-helical elements and three loops (D, anti-codon, and T loops). The record is from RNAcentral. Lineage: Bacteria; Candidatus Sumerlaeota.
GGAGAGGUGUCCGAGUGGUUGAAGGAGCGCGCUUGGAAAGCGCGUAUACUGGGUGACUGGUAUCGAGGGUUCGAACCCCUCCCUCUCCGCCA